GAGUUUGAUCAUGGCUCAGAACGAACGCUGGCGGCAGGCCUAACACAUGCAAGUCGAGCGCUACCUUCUGGUGGAACGUCAGACGGGUUACUAACGCGUGAGAAUAUACCCAGUUCUUACGAAUAACCACUGGAAACCGCGAGUAAUACCCUUAUACGCCCUUCAGGGGAAAGAUUUAUCAAAAUUGGAUUAUCCCUCAUUAUAUCACAUCGUUAGUAGGCUAAUGGCCAACCAAUUCUACGAUCUAUAACUGGUUUGAGAGGAUGAUCUCCUUCACUGGGACUGAAACACGACCCACACUCCUACGGCAGACACCCGUGCCAAAUCUUAAACGAUGGGCGCAAGCCUGAUCUAUCCAUGCCGCGUGAGUGACGAAGCCCCUCAUGCCGUAAAGCUCUUUCAACUCUGAAGAUUAUGACGGUCUCUAUACAAGAAACCCCAGCUAACUCCGUGCCUCCAUCCCCGUUAAUACACAUGGGGUUAACGUUCCUCCGAAUUACUGGCCGUCAACCGUACGUAUGCGGAUUAAUCAAUUAGUAGGUCAAAUCCCCUGGCUCAUACCCUGGAACUGCCUUUAAUACUGUUAGUCUUGAGAUCGACAUAGGUCACUGCAAUUCCAAGUGUAUUAGUAAUAUUCGAAUAUAUUUCGAAGAACACCAGUGGAAAAUGCUGCUCACUGGCUCGAUACUGACACUGAGGUACGAAAGUGUGGGGAGCAAACAGGAUUAGAUUCCAUGGUAGUCCACACCGUAAACGAUGAAUGCCUUAUGUCAGCAAGCAUGCUUGUUGGUGUCACACCUACCGGAUUAGAGCAUUCCGCAUGGGGAGUACGGUCGCAAGAUUAGAAGUCAAAGGAAUUGAGGGGGGCACGCACAAGCGUUGGAGCAUGUGGUAUAAUUCGACGCAACGCGCAGAACCUUACCAACCCUGGACAUACUUGUCGCGGAUUUCAGAGAUGGAUUCACUCAGUUUGGAUGGACAAUGUACAGUUGUGUCAUGACAGUUGUCAGCUAGUGUCGUGAGAAGUUCGGUUAAGUCCGGCAACGAGCGCAACGCAAGUCUUUAGUUACCAGCAUUUAGUUGGGUACCAUAAGGAGACAACCGGUGAUAAGCCGGAGGAAGGUGUGGACGAUGUCAAGUCAUCAUGGCCCUUACGGGAUGGGCCACACACGUGGUACAAUGGCAUGUACAGUGAGUUAAUUUUCAAAAGAUGUCUCAGUUUGGAUAGGGGUCUGCAACAUCGACCCCAUGAAGUUGGAAUAUCUAGUAAUCGUGGAACAGCAGAACCUCGGUGAAUACGUUUUCGGGCCUCGUACACACCGCCCGUCACACCAUGGGAAAUGGGUCUACCAGAAGGUGGUGCACCAACUCUUUAUAGGGGCAGCCAACCACGGUAGGUUCAGUGACUGGGGUGAAGUCGUAACAAGGUAACC
This 1433-nucleotide ribosomal RNA is filed under the name uncultured marine bacterium. RNAcentral's name for it is "16S ribosomal RNA". It matches the Rfam family "Bacterial small subunit ribosomal RNA". The record is from RNAcentral.